CCGAGCGCUGCCUUUGUUUCCGCCGGAUGACCGCUCGUUCAGCGGAACGUUUCAUUAUUCUUUCGAAAGGGACUGCUCGUUUCGGUUUAAGGCGAAUCUUCUCCUCGUGACGAAUCCCCUCUCGGUAAAAGGACGCUGGUUUAAAGUCGGUAAUGCAUUUCUUCCUAAGUGAGAAUCUGUUAAUGUUGGAGGAAUCAAUGAAAAUCUGACGGCUAGGCAAAAUUUCCUAGCCCAACGCACUACUUUUUCAAGAGAGAGCUGCACGCUCAUUGGAUAUCGCACUGGUAUGCCAUCAGUCGGCGUUCCGCUGCCAGCACUGAAAAUCUAUAGUAUAUAUACGCAACAUCGAUUUUGACAGUGAAUUUCAGAACUAUAUGUACGACAAAACUAUCGAUAGUGCAGAGAAACAUCGAUAAUUUUCGACAGUUCUAUCGAUAUCGAAUCGACCGAGAUUAUCGAUAGUUCUAUUUGCCAGGUUAUGGUGUUGAGGUAGUGCUCCGAGAGAGGCUUUCUCUUCCUCGUCUUGUGCUGACGAGACGUGUUUAUUCGGCGGUCCGUGAGUGUAGAACUGUGUAUAAAUAUUUUUGACAUUCCGUCUUGUGGAACGUAAUUUUCUAUACUUUCUUCUUAACUUCUUCGGUACGGCCGAUUGACAUAUUAUAUUUAGGCGCAAAGCUUGUGCAUUUUCCGAGAUUUAAAAACCUAACAUUUUCUUUCUUUAUCCUAACUCUAAAAUAUACAUCAUGGGUCUCGCAGACCAACUAUAAUUUUCGUUUGCUCCAUACAUUCUAUUUUUGAUAUUUAGUUUUAAUUUCAUAACUUGACAAAAUGAAACUUUUCGGUAUUGGAAUCUAUUCGGGUAUAUUUCUAAAGCUCAAAGCUUCGAAAUAAAAAAGAACAUGAAAAUUAUUAACAUUGAAAAAUAUUAAUCUGAGCUGGAGUUACGGUCUAUCAAAGUUACAUGGGUCUCCUCUGCGGUAUGUGUUUCCGGGAUUUUCUGAAAGCUGUAUAUUCGUAUGUGUGAAACUAUGUGCGUUUCAUUUCGUGGAAACUUGACGAAUUCAUUGAAUAAUUGUACUCAUUAGCGUACUAGGGUUGAUUGAUCGAUCGUGAAGAAAAUUGGAUUUUUCCGUUUCGUGGAUUUUCGCUUUCCUUGUGCACAGGGAGUAUUCGGCUUUUCGCGAUCGGAACUCAAUUAGUCACUCUGCUAUUGCAUCUUUUCUAUUCUGCUUUUUCCUUGUCUAUUGGCGUUUCCGAUUUGCUGACUCGAUCGGGGUCAUCGUUCUGAUUGGUGCAUUUUUAGAAAUGCAAAAUCAAUUGUAAAUCCCGAUCUGCAAAAGGUGUUUUAAACCGUAAAAUAUUGUAGACCGGCACUUAAGUUUCGGUCUCUGAGCCUUAAGAAAUUGACCGGAGUCGAAUGUGAAGAGAAUAAUUCACUGUGAUUGGAAUUUAAUUUCAUAAGACUUAGGGCAUCUAUUGCAGAUUAGAACUUAUGCAGAAGUUUGUGCUCCCCGCUUUAAGGAGCAAAUUCAUGGUAGCGUCGGAGCCAAUCAGCAGACAAUGGAUUGCUCUGUAACGCUACCAUGAAAAGGCUUCUUUAUAUGUAAGUUCUUCAUCCAUGGCUAUUUUUCCAAACACGAAGUUUUGCUGGAACACUCUUCAAUAAUUCAUAAUUAAAAUAACCAUCCAUGUAAAUGGUUGAUGAAGGAAAAUUGAGGUCCAUCAGUAGAAAGAGAUACAUAAGUACAUGUGUGUGCGGUACAUUUUUUUAGACAUCCGCUAUAAAUCUGAAAGAAAACGAUAAAUUUAAAUUCCAGAGUAUGGACUGUAAACAUAAUUACGAAGACAAGAAGUAUAUAGCAUCGUUAUUCUGUUACAACCGAUAAGAAAAAAAAAAAAGUACACAGUGUAACUUGCAUAAUGUAUAUUCCGUUCUCCAUUGACACAUGAGCGUGUAUAUACAAAGUCCGAGAGAGAAUUUCGUCUUCCCAUGUAAAAAAAUGAACGAUCCGGUCUGUCUUAGCGCACGUUUCAUAUCGAUUCGAUUGUUGACGCACACGAAUCGCAGAUACCCCCCCGCGUACGCGCGGAGUUAACGGCUGCGUUCAGCGGUUUGUGCUCUCUUUUUUUCCAACGCUUGCAAAGCAAGAUAUAUUUUCCGGCACGCUGAAAGUAACUUGUUAAAAAAAAAAGCUGGAUUACGCAGCAGCGCAUUACAGAGCGCACCCAUCUGUCGAGAUCGUUCGUAAGAAUCUAUCAGAAAAGCAGCACAAAGAGCUGAUGCAGCGCCGACGCUGAACGCAGCCCGAUAUUUAACGUGUCUAGCUUUAUACCGGUGCAUGUCCUGCGAGGAUGCGACCCUGCUAGAAAAAAAUCCGUUGCGACGCAUUACAAAUCUCUACAACACGAAUCGAUUUAGAACAUUACAUGUAUAAUUACGCAAUUAUACGAUUACAGAUGUUCGGUAAUUAAUUAACACUCGGUACAUAGCAAUUUUUACUUUUGGAGCGAUUCUGUUUGUGACGAUAUUUGUCACCUCGCGGAUAUCUUAUUUUUCCUUGGAAAUUUCUCGGAAAACGAACGAGAUGUUUUUCCAAUAAAUAGAUCUUAUAAAAUUCCAUUAACACUAUUACGACGGUGAACAGAAGAUUAAAUGACGUAAUACUUUGCAGGCAUAUCUCCUUCAUUAUUUAAGUAUGAAAAAAACGACGAUACGAACUUGUCGUGAUAAAAAAGGAAAGAGGAAAAUCCAAUCGACCAACGUAAUUCCACUCGAAAUUGCUUAUCGCUCCGUUUUUUUUCUUAAAAUAAAUACGAUUAUUCCAUUCUCCACAUCAAUGCCUUUCCUUCAAUCAAUAUAUUUAUCUUAACAAAGAGUUUAACUAAAUUCGGUGUACACGUUGUAUGUAAACAUAUACAUAUACGAUAAAAAAUAGACACCAGUCACGCUGCAAAUGUCAAGAAUUUAAAAAUCCCUUGAAGCAAGAAUUUUAAGCAUAAUUUACCGAUUUACAAAUCGACAGGACAGCUUUUUUUUUGAAAGCUACUACAGUUUCGCAGUUUCUUCGUAUUGUAAUCGAUCUUUUUACGUUAAUUUGUGACAAAAGGUCUGUUUUUUGUAGCUGAAAUCCCUGCACCAGCUUGCACUAGUUCUAUUUCCCUCUUCCUUACAAGAAAUCACAGAUAUGUAUCCGUUUCUUUCCACGUUCCGAAAAUGUGCACCGGUUCAGUGACAAAGAACAGACCCAAAGUAUGCACAUUAGAAUUACAUUAUCAUGUAGGAAUAUAUUAGUUUGUUUUCAAUCGAGGUAUUCUUCUUAGAAAAGUGCUAGCUUUUCCUUCUGAAUUUUAAUAAAUAAACUUUUAUAUAUAUAUAUAUAUCAUGUAUUCACAAUAAUGACACUUGGUGUUGUUUUCCUUGUAUGAACAUUACUAUAAUUGGUGGAAUUUAAACUUGCGAGUUUACCUAUACGAACUCUCGUGUAUUAUUCCGAUUCUUAAGGGUGUUUCUCAAGUCCCUCUGCACAUACAUGUUGAGUAUGCGCGGUUCAAUGAAUUUUUAAUUCCUUGAGCUAAUUCCACGAAUCCCUAAGUUUGUGGAGCUUCUCGAAACAGUGACUAUUUAAAUUCAUCGAUAUCAAAAUUUAAUGAAUCAUCUUACUUAUCAUCUAUUAUUCAUGGGUUGCAAAAUCAGUGCAUUUGUCGGUUCUUAUAUAUAUAUAAUAUAUAUAGUCCUAAGGUUCUAAAAUUAUCCAAGUCCUAGUCGAUUCUAUUUACCAUAGAUAUAUUUCUCGGCUCGUAAUACCUAGGUUCUUGGAUUUGCAAAUGUAUUCUUGAAUCAUUGAAUUCGUUAGACUCGCAUAUCAUGCAUAUGAUCGAAUCAUUUAGAUCCUUUUCAAAUUCAUCGGUUAGAUCUUUAGAAAACGUGGUUGAAAACUUUACGAUUUCGGUCUCUCCAAGUCUGAUUGAUUUUUUUCCCCGCACCAGGAAGUCUCUAAAAGGCUUCGGCAAUCCAAGGACCUAUGUUCACAAGAGGCUGAUUUCUCUUCCUUCAUGUCUCUUGCAUACAAAGAGUUAUAUUUGUGAAAUUUAUAUUAUUUACAAUAUAUUUACGCAUUUUGAUCUAUGACCGUUAUAGAUCUCAUUUGUUCUUAAAUAUAUACGAGUACCUA
Dinoponera quadriceps is the source of this 4172-nucleotide long non-coding RNA. RefSeq lists it as uncharacterized. NCBI's taxonomy places the organism in Eukaryota, Metazoa, Arthropoda, Insecta, Hymenoptera, Formicidae. The record is from RefSeq and is a predicted model, not a curated record. The transcript is spliced from 2 exons.